AGGAUGAUUAGUGAUACGCCUGUUGGGUAGGGGAGCGUUGUGUAAGCGGAAGAAGGUUCAUCGAGAGGUGGGCUGGACGUAUCACAAGUGCGAAUGCUGACAUAAGUAACGAUAAAACGGGUGAAAAACCCGUUCGCCGGAAGACCAAGGGUUCCUGUCCAACGUUAAUCGGGGCAGGGUGAGUCGGCUCCUAAGGCGAGGCUGAAAAGCGUAGUCGAUGGGAAACAGGUUAAUAUUCCUGUACUUGGUAAAGCUGCGAUGUGGGGACGGAGUAGGUUAGGUUAUCGCACUGUUGGAUAUGUGCGUUUAAGUUGGUAGGUGGGAAGUUUAGGCAAAUCCGGACUUCCUUAACACAGAGAGAUGAUGACGAGGCUCUACGGAGCUGAAGUAACUGAUACCACACUUCCAGGAAAAGCCACUAAGCGAAAGGCUUUACUAAACCGUACUGAAAACCGACACAGGUGGUCAGGUAGAGAAUACUCAGGCGCUUGAGAGAACUCGGGUGAAGGAACUAGGCAAAAUAGCACCGUAACUUCGGGAGAAGGUGCGCCGGCGUAGAUUGUAAGGGCUAGCCCCUGAAGGUUGAACCGGUCGAAGAUACCAGCUGGCUGCAACUGUUUAUUAAAAACACAGCACUCUGCAAACACGAAAGUGGACGUAUAGGGUGUGAUGCCUGCCCGGUGCUGGAAGGUUAAUUGAUGGUGUCAUCGCAAGAGAAGCACCUGAUCGAAGCCCCAGUAAACGGCGGCCGUAACUAUAACGGUCCUAAGGUAGCGAAAUUCCUUGUCGGGUAAGUUCCGACCUGCACGAAUGGCAUAAUGAUGGCCAGGCUGUCUCCACCCGAGACUCAGUGAAAUUGAAAUCGCCGUGAAGAUGCGGUGUACCCGCGGCUAGACGGAAAGACCCCGUGAACCUUUACUAUAGCUUGACACUGAACAUUGAAUUUUGAUGUGUAGGAUAGGUGGGAGACUUAGAAGUAGGAACGCCAGUUUCUAUGGAGUCAUCCUUGAAAUACCACCCUUUAACGUUUGAUGUUCUAACGAAGAUGACGAAACGUGGUCUCGGACAGUGUCUGGUGGGUAGUUUGACUGGGGCGGUCUCCUCCCAAAGCGUAACGGAGGAGCACGAAGGUUUGCUAAUCACGGUCGGACAUCGUGAGGUUAGUGCAAUGGUAUAAGCAAGCUUAACUGCGAGACAGACAAGUCGAGCAGGUACGAAAGUAGGUCAUAGUGAUCCGGUGGUUCUGAAUGGAAGGGCCAUCGCUCAACGGAUAAAAGGUACUCCGGGGAUAACAGGCUGAUACCGCCCAAGAGUUCAUAUCGACGGCGGUGUUUGGCACCUCGAUGUCGGCUCAUCACAUCCUGGGGCUGAAGUAGGUCCCAAGGGUAUGGCUGUUCGCCAUUUAAAGUGGUACGCGAGCUGGGUUUAGAACGUCGUGAGACAGUUCGGUCCCUAUCUGCCGUGGGCGU
This 1469-nucleotide ribosomal RNA is filed under the name Haemophilus influenzae. RNAcentral's name for it is "bacterial LSU rRNA". It matches the Rfam family "Bacterial large subunit ribosomal RNA", at positions 1202 to 2654 of the family's 2925-position model. The record is from RNAcentral. Lineage: Bacteria; Pseudomonadati; Pseudomonadota; Gammaproteobacteria; Pasteurellales; Pasteurellaceae.